This 468-nucleotide ribosomal RNA is filed under the name Triticum aestivum (bread wheat). Its description in RNAcentral is "partial small subunit ribosomal RNA". The record is from RNAcentral. Lineage: Eukaryota; Viridiplantae; Streptophyta; Magnoliopsida; Poales; Poaceae.
AUGGCUCCAAUACCGAUCUUGUAUCAUCCUGAGCCAGCUCCGUACACAUUGCCGCACCUGCUUCAGACCGUGUGGCGGCGACUCUAUCCAGAGGGUGCUGAUCCAGAGUAUCGGGUGUAUCGAGAGCAUCUGGCCGGUGAAUUGUAUGAGUAUUAUGCUGAGGUCACUCUACACCACAGUACCCCUUCCGGCGCUUACACUCGUUCGACGAAGGGUGGUCUUGCUUCUACGCGAUCUCAGGCAGUUCAGUUUGCUGCUAUCGAGGCUCUUGUAGACUUGCGCUACAACGAGGUUCGCAUGCACACCCACCCAGGUCUCUUCUACUACCCAUCUCUGCACGAGAAUGGGCGUCUCCGCUUUCCUUUGAUUAAUCUGGCGUGCGAUCGUUCCACUAGCCACCUUUCCCGCUAUAUCAUUUCCAGUUAUCUCCUGAACUACGAGUUAGCUCGGGAGCUUUCACGCGCCUAG